CCUAUGUAUGUCUUGAGUACUUCUAUUUUUCCCAAUCUCUCUUUGCCAGCUGCUGUCUCAGCCCCCGAGAAAGGCUCCUCCAGAAGAAGACACUAGUGGUGGCGCCAUAGCAGCUACCUGGGACCUAAAGUGGAGUUUUUCUCAUGCAUGAAAGCAGUAGACGUUGGGAGCAGGCCUGAGUGGGCUAUUUGUUUUGCUUCCCCUGCCUUGGACUUGGGGUUAUGCUAAGGUUAUCUUGCAGUGAUGCCAGACGGGAUCCGCACAGCCUCUGCCGCUGACUGCUAGUGCCUAUGAACUAAACCUGCAAAGGAGGGUCAUGUAAGCGUUCUUUACACUUCAGAAUAGUCAGCAAUAGUGAGUUCAUCCCUGAACAGUCUUUGGCUGUUGGUGAAAUCAGGGUGAAACUAGCCUCAUUCAGUUAAUGGGGUAUAACUCAUGUAUUGGCAGGACCGCAGUAUUGUAAUUAACAUGUACAUGCACUGGGGAGACAAAGGGGAAGCAGAUGAUCAGCCUA
Molecule: non-coding RNA, 514 nt
Organism: Manis javanica (Malayan pangolin)
Lineage: Eukaryota; Metazoa; Chordata; Mammalia; Pholidota; Manidae
Source: RefSeq, a predicted model, not a curated record